CGGAAGAUGUAACGGGGCUAAACCAUGCACCGAAGCUGCGGCAGCGACACUAUGUGUUGUUGGGUAGGGGAGCGUUCUGUAAGCCUGCGAAGGUGUGCUGUGAGGCAUGCUGGAGGUAUCAGAAGUGCGAAUGCUGACAUAAGUAACGAUAAAGCGGGUGAAAAGCCCGCUCGCCGGAAGACCAAGGGUUCCUGUCCAACGU
RNAcentral lists this ribosomal RNA (202 nucleotides) under Klebsiella pneumoniae. RNAcentral's name for it is "partial 23S ribosomal RNA". It matches the Rfam family "Bacterial large subunit ribosomal RNA", at positions 1164 to 1365 of the family's 2925-position model. The record is from RNAcentral. Lineage: Bacteria; Pseudomonadati; Pseudomonadota; Gammaproteobacteria; Enterobacterales; Enterobacteriaceae.